UUAUGAUGGCGACCGGCGCACGGGUGAGUAACGCGUAUCCAACCUACCCAUUACUAGGGAAUAACCCAGCGAAAGUUGGCCUAAUGCCCUAUGUAGUCGUUUGAUCGCCUGAGAUUUCGACGAAAGAUUUAUCGGUAUUGGAUGGGGAUGCGUCUGAUUAGCUUGUUGGCGGGGUAAAGGCCCACCAAGGCAACGAUCAGUAGGGGUUCUGAGAGGAAGGUCCCCCACAUUGGAACUGAGACACGGUCCAAACUCCUACGGGAGGCAGCAGUGAGGAAUAUUGGUCAAUGGGCGAGAGCCUGAACCAGCCAAGUAGCGUGCAGGAUGACGGCCCUAUGGGUUGUAAACUGCUUUUAUAUGGGAAUAAAGUGAGGGACGUGUCCCUUAUUGCAUGUACCAUACGAAUAAGGACCGGCUAAUUCCGUGCCAGCAGCCGCGGUAAUACGGAAGGUCCAGGCGUUAUCCGGAUUUAUUGGGUUUAAAGGGAGCGUAGGCUGUUUGUUAAGCGUGUUGUGAAAUGUAGGAGCUCAACUUUUAGAUUGCAGCGCGAACUGGCAGACUUGAGUGCGCACAACGUAGGCGGAAUUCAUGGUGUAGCGGUGAAAUGCUUAGAUAUCAUGACGAACUCCGAUUGCGAAGGCAGCUUACGGGAGCG
Molecule: ribosomal RNA, 655 nt
Filed under: uncultured bacterium
Lineage: Bacteria
Description: bacterial SSU rRNA
Rfam family: Bacterial small subunit ribosomal RNA
Source: RNAcentral